UACAGAGGGGGCGAGCGUUGUUCGGAAUUACUGGGCGUAAAGGGCGCGUAGGCGGCCUGCUAAGUCAUACGUGAAAUCCCUCGGCUCAACCGAGGAACUGCGUCUGAUACUGGUUGGCUUGAAUUCGGGAGAGGGAUGCGGAAUUCCAGGUGUAGCGGUGAAAUGCGUAGAUAUCUGGAGGAACACCGGUGGCGAAGGCGACAUCCUGGACCGGUAUUGACGCUGAGGCGCGAAAGCCAGGGGAGCAAACGGG
RNAcentral lists this ribosomal RNA (253 nucleotides) under uncultured bacterium. Its description in RNAcentral is "partial 16S ribosomal RNA". It matches the Rfam family "Bacterial small subunit ribosomal RNA", at positions 524 to 776 of the family's 1533-position model. The record is from RNAcentral.